Non-coding RNA from Oryzias latipes (Japanese medaka), 574 nucleotides. Lineage: Eukaryota; Metazoa; Chordata; Actinopteri; Beloniformes; Adrianichthyidae. The record is from the annotation of a RefSeq genome assembly.
AGUGAAUGCUGAACAUCAGAUAGUUUCUCCUGUUCAUUGAAACCUUGUUGUACAGAUGGAACAUUGGCUGUGGAUUCUUCUUGCUGCUCUUUUCUUUGAGUGUAAAGGAGAAGACAAAGUGAUCCAACCAGGAGGAGAAGUCAUUGCUGCUGAAGGAGACUCUCUCACACUCAACUGUACCUUUGAGACCAGUACAGUCCCAUAUUUGUUCUGGUACAAACAAGAAGUGAACAGUUACCCAAAGUACAUGUUGAGACGUUACUCAAAAACAAAAGAAAACGCUCCAGAGUUCAAGGAAGACAGAUUUGAUGCUGAACUCAAAGACAAAUCCGUUCCUCUGAAGAUCCAGAAGCUUCAUGUGUCUGACUCUGCUGUGUACUACUGUGCUCUGCAGCCCACAGUGACAGGAAACAGUGAAACUCUGUACAAAAACCUGCAGGGUAAACACAUUACACCACAAUAUCUGAAAGAAACCUCAACUCUUGAAAAAUACCAGCUACCACCACUGGAGGACACUGAAGAACUGCCUGUUACAUUUGAUCAGACCAGGUUCAACUACCUGGGCAAAGUUUAA